UACGAAGGGAGCAAGCGUUGUUCGGAAUUACUGGGCGUAAAGGGCGCGUAGGCGGAUAUAUGGGUUAGAUGUGAAAAACCUGGGCUUAACCUGGGAACUGCAUUUAAAACUAUGUGUCUAGAGUACUGGAGGGGAUGGUGGAAUUCCUAGUGUAGAGGUGAAAUUCGUAGAUAUUAGGAAGAACACCGACGGCGAAGGCAACCAUCUGGACAGUAACUGACGCUGAGGCGCGAAAGCGUGGGGAGCAAACAGG
Molecule: ribosomal RNA, 253 nt
Filed under: uncultured bacterium
Lineage: Bacteria
Description: partial 16S ribosomal RNA
Rfam family: Bacterial small subunit ribosomal RNA
Source: RNAcentral